GAUCAUGGCUCAGGACGAACGCUGGCGGCGUGCUUAACACAUGCAAGUCGAACGGAAAGGCCCGCAUUACUUUUGUGGUGGGGGUGCUCGAGUGGCGAACGGGUGAGUAACACGUGGGUGAUCUGCCCUGCACUUCGGGAUAAGCUUGGGAAACUGGGUCUAAUACCGGAUAGGACCAUGGUUUAGCAUCUCAUGGUGGAAAAAUAUUGUUUUGGUGUAGGAUGAGCCCGCGGCCUAUCAGCUUG
This 245-nucleotide ribosomal RNA is filed under the name uncultured bacterium. RNAcentral's name for it is "partial 16S ribosomal RNA". It matches the Rfam family "Bacterial small subunit ribosomal RNA", at positions 15 to 248 of the family's 1533-position model. The record is from RNAcentral.